AACCUCUAAAAUUCACAAUCCAACCUUGUGCUUAAUUUAUUUCUGGAUUACUACCAAUCUUUUUCCUGGUUCUUCUGACUCUCUAAAAGAUGAUGAACUAAAAUUGCUCUAUGCCAUGGUACACAAGAUUGAAAUUUCCCCUGUUGAAUUGAUGAUAAGAUUUUAGCUACUUACCCAUGACCCAACUUGGUCCCGCUGGUGUGUUGCCACCAGUAGGACCCUUGCAAUUGAUGUUUCCCAUGUCUUUGGAUUUUAGAAUGCUCAAGAAUCCAAGUGUGGGGGAUCAAGUGGCCCCCCAACUAAGUCUCUGAAUUUCCUGAACACAACAUGACGUAGUACAUGGUGAGGCAAGUUGGCUCGACAAAUUCUACCCUAAGUAGGGGGUCGGCCAACCCCCUCUUUGACGGCCAACGGGAACAGAAGCUUGUAGAGGUACAUCAUCAACAAUGGGAAUUCAAAUGGCAACAAUGGGCAAGCCCAAGUGGGGUCGGCCGACCCCACCUUGGAGCCCUAGACCAACCAUUCAGCAUCCACUCAACAUCUACCUGCCUUCUGACUGGUUUGCCACUCCUACUCCCCCUCUGUUCUUUCAUUUUUAUUACUUUUGUCUCUUGUUUGCUUUAUUAGAUAAAAUAAAACAAAAAUAAAAACAAGAAGACUUGGAUCUAUGAUUUAUGACAUUAAAAAGUGUGACAUGAUUCAUCACAUUAAAAGGGUAAAAGUGUCACAAAGUCUAAUUCUUACAUGUGCUUAUAAUUGUGGGUCACAUAUCUUUAUAGGAAUAUCAUAUUGACAUGGUUGUUGACAAACUGUGAUAUAGUUCUUAGCUCAUGAUUCAUACCCAUUCUAUUCAAAGUGCUUAGAGAUUUAUUUUUGAAAAUAUCAUAAAACCAUAGCGUCACUUACUCCUCAAUAGUAAGAGAAUUCCUACCACAGCCAUAUAUGUUCAUACCUUGUUCAAAACCCUUCUAUAUAUGCUACUUGUACUUGUGUUGAGUUUAGUCAAACCUUGUGACCCUAGUUGAGAAUUAUGGCAUAGUCCCAAGAUCAAGAUCACACACACACCACAUAUAUAUAUGUUGCUUCUACAUUGGAAGUACGCAAAAACAUGCCAUCCAUUUCCACCAUAUAGAUGCUCCAUGUUUUAAGGUUUAGAAUAUCUCUCUCUAAGUAUUGGUUAUAAGAUGAGACACAAAGGUUGUGCUUAGUAAAAAAAAGUGGGCACAUGAAGGUCCAUUGCUUCUGAAAAAAGGGAGAAAAGAAAAAAUAAAAAAAGCUAGCCAUGUCUCAAAUAAAAUAGAGAGAGAUCUUAUCAAAUAUAGGAGCAUUCUAUUCUAAUCAUUUUUCACACACUUACACAUCUUGAUCUAGGAUUAUGACAUUCUUCUCCUUGGAUCCUUGUUUUGACUUUACAAUAGAUACAAUGCAAGUAUGCUAUCUUGUUUCCCCCUACCUGAGCCCCAUAAGCCUAAUAGAUGUAGGAUGAAACAAACGAAGGAAAUCUUAUGAUAUGCCUUGGUGAGGAAUUCUAUACUUAUUGAGUGACUUCAGAGUACUAUUAGAGGAGUAAGGAUAAACUAUGUGCUUUCUUUUAAAACAUUUAUCAAAAACUCUAAGUACAAAGGAUAUGAAAAUGGGAAGAUGACUUUGCUUUGAGAACUGUUCCAUUUUUCAACAUCCUAAGGAUAUAUGUUAGAUAGUGCCACAUAACCCACUUGUAUAAGGAUAUAUGUUAGAUAGUACCAUUGUUUGGGCCCACUAGGGGCUCCCCUCCAUGGCAUGAGCCAUGGCAUACUCCAAGGAGUCAAUCCCAACCCUUGGAUCCAAGUGUGCUUGCCCUCAAUGGUUCAAACACUUAGCACAUGGAUCCUUGGGCCCACAUGAAAGCAAGCACUUGUUACAAUGUAGGGUAGUAGUAGUUAGUCUAGUGUGGGAGUUAGACUUGAGUCGAGUGAAGCUCGCAGUCUCUAGAGUCGUCUUCUGGAGAGUCUGGUAUUCCUCUUUACCUUUUCUCUUGUAAGACUUUGAGUAUUAAUAUAUUUACUUUUCUUUUACUUUUCUAAGUAUUUACUUUCAGUAUCUACAUAGUGCAAUAUUCUGUUGUAGUGUCCUAGUCUGUCUUGUAGUAGUUAUAUACUAGCUAAGUUAGUCUUAAGUGCUUGGGUUGUUUUCUCUGCCAGUAACACGGUGCUUGGACUAGGUCGUAUACUUAGUCUGAGUAGUAGGAGUUAGCAUAAGCAUGGUGCUUAGACUAAAGCCUACCCUUGAAUACCACCAUAUCAAACGUGACAGGCCUAUGCUUCCUAGUAUGUUCUAUUCACGUCGGGUAUGGUCUGUAGGUGCCCAUAAGAAACAAGUCCGCUUGGAUAGGAGUUUUGUCCUCCUAUUGUAGUCUACUUCCAACAAACAAGCAGUUAAGUUUAGCAAUGUUAGUGUGUGUCCGCUACUAGAUUAGAUUGGUUCAUAGGAGUAAAGUUAGAGUCAUAGGAGUCUUUUGUCACUCGUUGUCCUCCCACCUAGCUAGCUCUCUACCAUUUAUCUUUAGAUUAGGAUCUGUGUGAGAUCACUUACCUAUCCUUACCUAUCCUUGACCCUUUGGAUGACCUUGAGCCUAGUUAGUUCACUUCACGUUCCCCGUGGAAAAUAUGAUACCUGGAAUACUCCCGGUGAAAGCUACAUUGACUACUGUACGCUUGCGGUAUUUCCGUUUGCC
RNAcentral lists this long non-coding RNA (2713 nucleotides) under Sorghum bicolor (sorghum). Its description in RNAcentral is "long non-coding RNA (SBIC_LNC004644)". The record is from RNAcentral. Lineage: Eukaryota; Viridiplantae; Streptophyta; Magnoliopsida; Poales; Poaceae.